GUUAUACAACUUUCAGCAACGGAUCUCUUGGCUCUCGCAUCGAUGAAGAACGCAGCGAAAUGCGAUAAGUAAUGUGAAUUGCAGAAUUCAGUGAAUCAUCGAAUCUUUGAACGCACCUUGCGCUCCUUGGUAUUCCGAGGAGCACACCUGUUUGAGUGUCAUGAA
RNAcentral lists this ribosomal RNA (165 nucleotides) under Polyporus grammocephalus. RNAcentral describes it as "5.8S rRNA". It matches the Rfam family "5.8S ribosomal RNA". From Rfam's summary of the family: 5.8S ribosomal RNA (5.8S rRNA) is a component of the large subunit of the eukaryotic ribosome. It is transcribed by RNA polymerase I as part of the 45S precursor that also contains 18S and 28S rRNA. Lineage: Eukaryota; Fungi; Basidiomycota; Agaricomycetes; Polyporales; Polyporaceae. The record is from RNAcentral.